GAUGAACGCUGGCGGCGUGCCUAAUACAUGCAAGUCGAGCGAACGGACGAGAAGCUUGCUUCUCUGAUGUUAGCGGCGGACGGGUGAGUAACACGUGGAUAACCUACCUAUAAGACUGGGAUAACUUCGGGAAACCGUAGCUAAUACCGGAUAAUAUUUUGAACCGCAUGGUUCAAAAGUGAAAGACGGUCUUGCUGUCACUUAUAGAUGGAUCCGCGCUGCAUUAGCUAGUUGGUAAGGUAACGGCUUACCAAGGCAACGAUGCAUAGCCGACCUGAGAGGGUGACCGCCCCCACUGGAAGUGAGCCGCGGCCCAGACUCCUGCGGGGGGCCGCAGUGGGGUAUUUCCCGCAAUGGGCAAAGGCCGAACGAACCAACCCCGCGUGAGUGAUGAGGGUCUUGGGAUCUUAAAACUCUUUUAUUGGGAAAGAACAUAUGUGUAAGUAUCUGUGCACAUCUUGACGGUCCCUAAUCAGAAACCCCCGGCUAACUACGUG
This 497-nucleotide ribosomal RNA is filed under the name uncultured bacterium. RNAcentral describes it as "partial 16S ribosomal RNA". It matches the Rfam family "Bacterial small subunit ribosomal RNA", at positions 28 to 507 of the family's 1533-position model. The record is from RNAcentral.